This 380-nucleotide unclassified non-coding RNA is filed under the name uncultured bacterium. RNAcentral's name for it is "contains 16S-23S intergenic spacer region". The record is from RNAcentral.
UCCGGCUUGACGCCGGCAGUCCCCCGAGAGUCCUCAGCAUGACCUGGUAGUAACACGGGGCAAGGGUUGCGCUCGUUGCGGGACUUAACCCAACAUCUCACGACACGAGCUGACGACAGCCAUGCAGCACCUGUGCUGGGGUCCCGAAGGAGGGCCCCACUUUCAUGAGGCUUGCCCCAGCAUGUCAAGCCCAGGUAAGGUUCUUCGCGUUGCGUCGAAUUAAACAACAUGCUCCGCUGCUUGUGCGGGCCCCCGCCAAUUCCUUUGAGUUUUAGCCUUGCGGCCGUACUCCCCAGGCGGGGCACUUAAUGCGUUAGCUCCGGCACGGAGGGAGUCGACACCCCCCACACCUAGUGCCCAUCGUUUACAGCGUGGACUAC